UGGGGAAUAUUGGACAAUGGGCGAAAGCCUGAUCCAGCAAUGCCGCGUGAGUGAUGAAGGCCUUAGGGUUGUAAAGCUCUUUUACCCGGGAUGAUAAUGACAGUACCGGGAGAAUAAGCCCCGGCUAACUCCGUGCCAGCAGCCGCGGUAAUACGGAGGGGGCUAGCGUUGUUCGGAAUUACUGGGCGUAAAGCGCGCGUAGGCGGCUUUGUAAGUUAGAGGUGAAAGCCCGGAGCUCAACUUCGGAAUUGCCUUUAAGACUGCAUCGCUAGAAUCGUGGAGAGGUGAGUGGAAUUCCGAGUGUAGAGGUGAAAUUCGUAGAUAUUCGGAAGAACACCAGUGGCGAAGGCGACUCACUGGACACGUAUUGACGCUGAGGUGCGAAAGCGUGGGGAGCAAACAGAUUAGAUACCCUGGUAGUCCAACGCCGUAAAACGNUGAUGACUAGCUGUCGGGGCUCUUAGAGUUUCGGUGGCGCAGCUAACGCGUUAAGUCAUCCGCCUGGGGAGUACGGCCGCAAGGUUAAAACUCAAAUGAAUUGACGGGGUCAUAGCUGUUUCCU
Molecule: ribosomal RNA, 562 nt
Filed under: uncultured bacterium
Lineage: Bacteria
Description: partial 16S ribosomal RNA
Rfam family: Bacterial small subunit ribosomal RNA
Source: RNAcentral